AUGCAUAUCACAAAAAUAGUGGAGCAUAGCUGUGAGAAAACUAGGACUCUUUCAGAUCACUGCAAUGUGACUGCAAGAUAUGUGGCACAAAAGAUGGAAACGAUUGUGCAAGAAAGUCUCAACAUUAGUAUUAGGGCUUUGCAAAAAACUGCAGAAGAUCAUAUUGGCUUCCCUGUCAGCUACAUCAAGGCUAGGCAUGCGAAGGAAAAGAUAUUCCAGAACUUGUAUGGAACCUAUGAGGACGCCUUUUCGUAUGCCCCCAGAAUGCUUCAUCACAUAGCAAGUGCUGACAUGGGGACUCAAGUUUGGCAGAGAUAA
This 318-nucleotide ribosomal RNA is filed under the name Triticum aestivum (bread wheat). RNAcentral's name for it is "partial small subunit ribosomal RNA". Lineage: Eukaryota; Viridiplantae; Streptophyta; Magnoliopsida; Poales; Poaceae. The record is from RNAcentral.